CCCCGCUCCCACCCCGGUCCAACUACACCCCCCUAACACAAUCCAACCCGCUCCCCCGGCACAAAGCGCGCAAGGCCCCGUCCAACCCCGGCCUCUCUCUGGGGCAUCUGAACUACACACCAACAAGACUGCUGCUGCCUUUGUGGGCGGCAGCAGCAACUCGAAGGGCGGGAGCUUGGACCAGGGGACUGCCGGGAGCAUAUUCAUCCCGAACCUCUUGCUCCCUGGACGUGCUGCACUAAAGAGGCAGUGAGACUUCCUGGAGACCACAAAUGCUACCUCCUGACCAGUUGCCAGGAGACACAUAACUACAGCCUUAUGUUGAUUCCUUUCCUGAACAGCAGCCUAUAAUGCCUCUGCAAACCAACAGCUGAAGCUACAAACUCAGUCAAAUAAGAGAUUAACAUUGCACUUCCCAGGAAGAUUGCAAGGCACCACCUGAAUAAAACAUUUUAGUGUCCAGAUGCUGCGAUAUGUUACAGAGGUGAUAAACAGGAC
Molecule: long non-coding RNA, 498 nt
Organism: Hemiscyllium ocellatum (epaulette shark)
Lineage: Eukaryota; Metazoa; Chordata; Chondrichthyes; Orectolobiformes; Hemiscylliidae
Exons: 3
Source: RefSeq, a predicted model, not a curated record